UGCCCCAUGGCUUAGUUGGCUAUAGCGUCCGACUGUUAUGACAUUAGUUUGGCAAAUCGGAAGGUCGAGAGUUCGAGCCUCUCUGGGGCAG
This is a transfer RNA of Sphaerobolus stellatus SS14, 91 nucleotides long. It matches the Rfam family "tRNA". From Rfam's summary of the family: Transfer RNA (tRNA) molecules are approximately 80 nucleotides in length. The record is from Rfam. NCBI's taxonomy places the organism in Eukaryota, Fungi, Basidiomycota, Agaricomycetes, Geastrales, Sphaerobolaceae.